RNAcentral lists this ribosomal RNA (468 nucleotides) under uncultured bacterium. RNAcentral's name for it is "bacterial SSU rRNA". It matches the Rfam family "Bacterial small subunit ribosomal RNA", at positions 29 to 477 of the family's 1533-position model. The record is from RNAcentral.
AACGAACGCUGGCGGCGUGGAUAAGACAUGCAAGUCGAACGGAAUUACUUUUGUAGCAAUACAGAAGUAAUUCAGUGGCGAACGGGUGCGUAACACGUGGGCAAUCUGCCGAGAAGUGGGGGAUAGCUCGCCGAAAGGCGAAUUAAUACCGCAUGUGGUGAGGGAAGACAUCUUCCUGAAUCCAAAGCCGGGGUAACCUGGCGCUUUUUGAGGAGCCCGCGGCCUAUCAGCUUGNGGUGAGGUAACGGCUCACCAAGGCUUUGACGGGUAGCUGGUCUGAGAGGACGACCAGUCACACUGGAACUGAGACACGGUCCAGACACCUACGGGUGGCAGCAGUCGAGAAUUUUUCUCAAUGGGGGAAACCCUGAAGGAGCGACGCCGCGUGGAGGAUGAAGGCUUUCGGGUUGUAAACUCCUGUCAUUUGAGAACAAGGUGCACCGGUUAACUGCCGGUGCAUUGAUAGUA